This 458-nucleotide ribosomal RNA is filed under the name uncultured bacterium. RNAcentral describes it as "partial 16S ribosomal RNA". It matches the Rfam family "Bacterial small subunit ribosomal RNA", at positions 338 to 795 of the family's 1533-position model. The record is from RNAcentral.
CCUACGGGAGGCAGCAGUGAGGAAUAUUGGUCAAUGGGCGAGAGCCUGAACCAGCCAAGUCGCGUGAGGGAGUACUGCCCUAUGGGUUGUAAACCUCUUUUGUCGGGGAGCAAAAGCCGGACGUGUCCGGCUGUGAGAGUACCCGAAGAAAAAGCAUCGGCUAACUCCGUGCCAGCAGCCGCGGUAAUACGGAGGAUGCGAGCGUUAUCCGGAUUUAUUGGGUUUAAAGGGUGCGCAGGCGGAUUUUUAAGUCAGCGGUAAAAUCGUGGGGCUCAACCCCAUCCAGCCGUUGAAACUGGGGAUCUAGAGUGUGCGAGAGGUAUGCGGAAUGCGUGGUGUAGCGGUGAAAUGCAUAGAUAUCACGCAGAACCCCGAUUGCGAAGGCAACAUACCGGUGCACAACUGACGCUCAGGCACGAAAGCGUGGGUAUCGAACAGGAUUAGAUACCCGUGUAGUC